GCUUGUCUCAAAGAUUAAGCCAUGCAUGUCUCAGUACAAGCCGAAUUAAGAGUGAAACCGCGAAAGGCUCAUUAAAUCAGUUAUGGUUCCUUAGAUCGUACCCACAAUUACUUGGAUAACUGUGGUAAUUCUAGAGCUAAUACAUGCAAAUAGAGCUCCGACCGGAGACGGAAGGAGUGCUUUUAUUAGAUCAAAACCAAUCGGUGGCGGGCUCGUCAUCGUUCAACUUGGUGACUCUGAAUAACUUGACGCUGAUCGCACGGUCAUCGCACCGGCGACGCAUCUUUCAAAUGUCUGCCUUAUCAACUGUCGAUGGUAGGUUCUGCGCCUACCAUGGUUGUAACGGGUAACGGGGAAUCAGGGUUCGAUUCCGGAGAGGGAGCCUGAGAAACGGCUACCACAUCCAAGGAAGGCAGCAGGCGCGCAAAUUACCCACUCCCGGCACGGGGAGGUAGUGAAG
This 460-nucleotide ribosomal RNA is filed under the name Zascelis sp. ARC3954. RNAcentral describes it as "SSU rRNA". It matches the Rfam family "Eukaryotic small subunit ribosomal RNA", at positions 30 to 472 of the family's 1831-position model. Lineage: Eukaryota; Metazoa; Arthropoda; Insecta; Coleoptera; Curculionidae. The record is from RNAcentral.